UGGGGAAUAUUGCACAAUGGAGGGAACUCUGAUGCAGCGACGCCGCGUGAACGAAGAAGGCUUUCGAGUCGUAAAGUUCUUUUAUAUGGGAAGAUAAUGACGGUACCAUAAGAAAAAGCCCCGGCUAACUACGUGCCAGCAGCCGCGGUAAUACGUAGGGGGCUAGCGUUGUCCGGAAUCACUGGGCGUAAAGGGUUCGCAGGCGGAAAUGCAAGUCAGGUGUAAAAGGCAGUAGCUUAACUACUGUAAGCAUUUGAAACUGCUUAUCUUGAGAAGAGUAGAGGUAAGUGGAAUUUUUAGUGUAGCGGUGAAAUGCGUAGAUAUUAAAAAGAAUACCGGUGGCGAAGGCGACUUACUGGGCUCAUUCUGACGCUGAGGAACGAAAGCGUGGGUAGCAAACAGG
RNAcentral lists this ribosomal RNA (403 nucleotides) under bacterium. Its description in RNAcentral is "partial 16S ribosomal RNA". It matches the Rfam family "Bacterial small subunit ribosomal RNA", at positions 355 to 776 of the family's 1533-position model. The record is from RNAcentral.